Molecule: long non-coding RNA, 1656 nt
Organism: Mytilus californianus (California mussel)
Lineage: Eukaryota; Metazoa; Mollusca; Bivalvia; Mytilida; Mytilidae
Exons: 3
Source: RefSeq, a predicted model, not a curated record
UAUAUUUCUUUUGUAUUGCAAAUGAACGUUUUGUGUACUUUACGCAUAAUUAUUCCUUUUCCGUAAGAAUUACUAAGUAUAUAUCAAAAGAGGACUGCAUUGAAAGAUAAGUUUCUUUUAACAAGUCCAAAGAAGACCUUUGUAAUAUCUGUGAAAAUAUUCUGUUAAUUACAAUAAUAUGUGAACUUUCUUCAAUUCUUAAAGUUAAUUCAUAACUCUGUUAGUGCAUUGUUUUGUGUUUACUUGUUACUGUCUAUAUUACUAAUAAUUCACAUAACAUUCAUUUGAUAUUGUUUAUUUUAGUAAUUUACUGAACCUCAAGUUUCAUCAAAUCGGAUGAUAUUGUAAUUGACAUUUCAAACAUUAUACAAAACAUUACGUGUACAGUUCAAAUAUCAAUGUAUUAACUUAACCUAAUAAAAUUUAAUAUAACAAGAACUUGUGAUGUAAUCUUUUGGUGUCUGCUUUUACUUAUAAAAAUAAUUACAACUGCUUGGGAAAUUUUUUCAAUUAAAUGUAGUCACUAAAAUUAUGCUUUAGAUUUGUUUUCUUUAUUACAAAACAAUUAUUUCAAUUUGAAUUAAUGUAAAUAAUUAAUAAUAUUUAUGGCAUGUUUCAUCACAGUUAACAAUAUCUGAUAUUCUUAUUUUUGUUUCCAUACACUAACUUCAGUUUUUUCUUCUUCAAUUAUUAGCAAUUACAUUAAUUUUUAAAUGAACAUAAUUAUUCUAUUAAUACAGAUAUUGUUCUGUUUCAAAGAAAAAAAAAAGAAAGUUUGUCAUAUCUUUGUGUGUUCAGAAUACCUGUUAAUUAAAAAAAAGACAUACUAACGCUAUAAAUCUACAUUCGUUUUACAUAGUCAGAUGAUGUAAAUGAUAGAAUCAAGAUAAUAUUCAUUUUAAGUGUGCAUGUUUCAACAAUUGCUUUUGGUUUCUGUGUUUUAUUUGUUGUUAAUUUUUUUAUACAGACAAAGUUGUUGCUACAUCUAUUGUCUUGUCGCCUCUGUAGUAACCAUUGCGUGCUUUGCCGUGGUACUCGGUAUCAUACUGAUAUAUAGAAAAUACUUCAGGUCCAUGUGUUGCUGUCGCAUUGACAUAUACCCCAUCCAUCCCUAUAUUGGAAAGCACUAAGGAGUGAACGUAGGAUGUCAAUUAGAAGUAUAGCUAGUCUACAUAAGGUCCGUCCUAGCUUUGAUAAAGCUGAUAAUGCAGAUAACUGUAUGCUAAAUGACUUGCCGGGUGAUAUGAGGUACACAAAUCCGGCUACAAAGUGCGGUUUGUCAGUUAAACAACAUUGAAAGUAUAACAAGAUAAAAGCUAUCAUUGGUUAAUGCAAUGUGAUUUUCUUAUUUUUUUAUAUAUAUUAUAUAUAUCUAUUUAAUUUAACUUAAUGUUUAGCAAGCGUGAAUUUAUGGAUAUUGUUAUAUCUAGAAUUAUUGUAAAUACAUGUAAUAGUACUCUCUUAUUUUAAAUAGUAAUGAGAGAGAGAGAGAUAGAGAGAGAGAGAGAGAGAAUAUGAUAUUAAUGUGAUUUAUUGUAGAUGCAACUGAUAGAAUUAAAAAUGAUUACAGAUAUAAUUUGUAUUCAUUUAUUUUUUUUAAAUGCUUAUACUUGUCACCGGUACCAUUACAAGUUCAAAUUAAAACGUAUUUUCAUA